UACGUAGGGUGCGAGCGUUGUCCGGAAUUAUUGGGCGUAAAGAGCUCGUAGGCGGUUUGUCGCGUCGAAUGUGAAAACCUGGGGCUCAACCCCGGGCGUGCGGUGGAUACUGCCGGGCUAGAGGGUGGUAGAGGCGAGUGGAAUUCCCGGUGUAGCGGUGAAAUGCGCAGAUAUCAGGAGGAACACCGAUGGCGAAGGCAGCUCGCUGGGACGGUACUGACGCUGAGGCGCGAAAGCGUGGGGAGCGAACAGG
This 253-nucleotide ribosomal RNA is filed under the name uncultured bacterium. RNAcentral describes it as "partial 16S ribosomal RNA". It matches the Rfam family "Bacterial small subunit ribosomal RNA", at positions 524 to 776 of the family's 1533-position model. The record is from RNAcentral.